GUGAGUUCAGCGAAUACCCUUCCUGUCAGCACGCUCUGGGAGGCGUGACGUGUGCAAAGCCAGCUGUCGUCGAUCAGGAGUUUAAAAGAAGUGGCUCUUUUUUAAUUUAAUUUGUAUUUAUUUAUUUAUUAUUAUUUUACAAGAGCAGCCACAAGUUAUUGGGAGUGAGCAAGACUUGUGCAGGAUUCGAAAUUGAUGCUCAUUCAUAAAGUCAGAACUCAGUCCAGGCUGCGUAACGUGUCAACAAUUGUAGCGUGUGCUGAAAGAGGAUCGCCAACCCUAUCGAAGCACCAGACUAUCUAAAUGGGACUUUGUUAUGCCAGUCCAUGGUGAACGGUCAACCGGAAGUAAGACAAGGCUUUUGACCGAAAACCGUUACAAAGUACCCCCAGAGGUCUGAAGACUGCUCCGGGUAAGCAACGCUGAAUUCACGGCAGCUUGGUGUGUGUGCGCUCUCURUUAUGAAUUAAAAUCAAUUUAGAAUUAACGCAGGUCGUGUC
Molecule: long non-coding RNA, 500 nt
Organism: Austrofundulus limnaeus
Lineage: Eukaryota; Metazoa; Chordata; Actinopteri; Cyprinodontiformes; Rivulidae
Exons: 2
Source: RefSeq, a predicted model, not a curated record